RNAcentral lists this ribosomal RNA (230 nucleotides) under uncultured bacterium. Its description in RNAcentral is "partial 16S ribosomal RNA". It matches the Rfam family "Bacterial small subunit ribosomal RNA", at positions 524 to 753 of the family's 1533-position model. The record is from RNAcentral.
UACGGAGGGUGCGAGCGUUGUCCGGAAUCACUGGGCGUAAAGGGCGCGUAGGCGGCUUCUUAAGCGUGUGGUGAAAGCUCAGGGCUCAACUCUGAGUCGGCCAUGCGAACUGGGAGGCUUGAGCACUGUAGAGGCAGGUGGAAUUCCGGGUGUAGCGGUGGAAUGCGUAGAGAUCCGGAAGAACACCGGUGGCGAAGGCGGCCUGCUGGGCAGUAGCUGACGCUGAGGCG